GGUUCGCUUAUCUCUUGAAGGCUCUUGAAGGGCCCAAAGGCGCCGCGGGAUGCGAGCCCAAGGACGAGGGUCGUGAUCCAAUGACGGAGCCUGUCUGCAUGAGUUGAGUUGUGCAUGCAUGUCGCCAUGAAAGCAAGGGAAGAAGUGAACGGAGCGAGAAGGGGGAGAGAGUGAGAGGCGUGUUUCCACUCCGCCGGUGCAGUUGCAGCCAGCAUCCCCCGCCCUAAUGGAUCAGCUAUAAAUAGGGAUCGCACGCCAAUCGGAACCAGUUCCAUCCCUGAUAGGCCUCAUCGGCCACAUCAGAGAACUAUCUCGCAGAGAUAAGAAACGAAUCAGAUCCUUCUUCGUCGGAUUCCGUAGUUCGGGUGCCCCAGUCGGGCAGCUUUCUAGGGUCGACCUUGCGCUUCCCCCUGAGCCCCUUCCCCUCGUGUGGAUUGGCGAGUAGGGCCUGCGCUGCUGCUGACGCUUUGGUGGCACCCUAGAGCUGCCGCAGCUUCUUGGGUUGGAUUUGGGUUGGAUGUGACAGCAAUUCCGCCAUAACGUCGGAUCGGGAGGCCCCCAUGGAGGGGGGGAGGGGGCAUCUAGCGCCAGUUAGUUACGUGGGUUGGGAUUCGCGAGGUUUGCAAGCCUGUCACGAGAAUGUGUGAGGGAUCCUGGAAGCGACGCCAUGUCGAUUCGAGCUGCCAGGUUCCUGGGCAGCUGCUGCUGCACGUUACUCCCGAUGAAUGAAAGUCUUUCUAUCGUGAAAAGCCUCAUGAAGUAGCAUUUCUACUACCUUUCCACAUGGGAGUUUUCCUCCAAUCUUUGAGAAUGUUAAAAUUACAUUUGCAUUUCAAGAGCUGCUGUAAAUCUGCCAAUUUACAUAAUCUACACGUUUCAUUGUAGGCUGAACCAGA
This is a long non-coding RNA of Physcomitrium patens, 896 nucleotides long. RefSeq lists it as uncharacterized. Lineage: Eukaryota; Viridiplantae; Streptophyta; Bryopsida; Funariales; Funariaceae. The record is from RefSeq and is a predicted model, not a curated record.